GAUGAACGCUGGCGGCGUGCCUAAUACAUGCAAGUCGAGCGAACGGACGAGAAGCUUGCUUCUCUGAUGUUAGCGGCGGACGGGUGAGUAACACGUGGAUAACCUACCUAUAAGACUGGGAUAACUUCGGGAAACCGGAGCUAAUACCGGAUGAUAUUUUGAACCGCAUGGUUCAAAAGUGAAAGACGGUCUUGCUGUCACUUAUAGAUGGAUCCGCGCUGCAUUAGCUAGUUGGUAAGGUAACGGCUUACCAAGGCAACGAUGCAUAGCCGACCUGAGAGGGUGAUCGGCCACACUGGAACUGAGACACGGCCCAGACUCCUACGGGAGGCAGCAGUAGGGAAUCUUCCGCAAUGGGCGAAAGCCUGACGGAGCAACGCCGCGUGAGUGAUGAAGGUCUUCGGAUCGUAAAACUCUGUUAUUAGGGAAGAACAUAUGUGUAAGUAACUGUGCACAUCUUGACGGUACCUAAUCAGAAAGCCACGGCUAACUACGUG
RNAcentral lists this ribosomal RNA (497 nucleotides) under uncultured bacterium. Its description in RNAcentral is "partial 16S ribosomal RNA". It matches the Rfam family "Bacterial small subunit ribosomal RNA", at positions 28 to 507 of the family's 1533-position model. The record is from RNAcentral.